RNAcentral lists this ribosomal RNA (397 nucleotides) under uncultured bacterium. RNAcentral's name for it is "partial 16S ribosomal RNA". It matches the Rfam family "Bacterial small subunit ribosomal RNA", at positions 523 to 918 of the family's 1533-position model. The record is from RNAcentral.
AUACGAAGGGUGCAAGCGUUACUCGGAAUUACUGGGCGUAAAGCGUGCGUAGGUGGUUGUUUAAGUCUGUCGUGAAAGCCCUGGGCUCAACCUGGGAAUGGCGAUGGAAACUGGGCGACUAGAGUGUGGCAGAGGGUAGUGGAAUUCCUGGUGUAGCAGUGAAAUGCGUAGAGAACAGGAGGAACAUCCGUGGCGAAGGCGGAUGGCCGGGACAACACUGACAAUUGGGCACGAAAGGGUGGGGAGCAAACAGGAUUAGGUUCCCUGGUAGUCCCCGCCCGAAACGAUGCGAACUGGAUGUUGGGGGCAAUUUGGCACGCAGUAUCGAAGCUAACGCGUUAAGUUCGCCGCCUGGGGAGUACGGUCGCAAGACUGAAACUCAAAGGAAUUGACGGGG